GACGAACGCUGGCGGCGUGCUUAACACAUGCAAGUCGAACGAUGAAGCGGUGCUUGCACCGUGGAUUAGUGGCGAACGGGUGAGUAAUACGUGAGUGACCUACCUUUGACUCUGGGAUAAGCCUGGGAAACUGGGUCUAAUACCGGAUACGACCAAUCUCUGCAUGGGGUGUUGGUGGAAAGCGUUAUGGAGUGGUUUUAGAUGGGCUCACGGCCUAUCAGCUUGUUGGUGAGGUAAUGGCUUACCAAGGCGACGACGGGUAGCCGGCCUGAGAGGGUGACCGGCCACACUGGGACUGAGACACGGCCCAGACUCCUACGGGAGGCAGCAGUGGGGAAUAUUGCACAAUGGGCGCAAGCCUGAUGCAGCGACGCCGCGUGAGGGAUGACGGCCUUCGGGUUGUAAACCUCUGUUAGCAUCGAAGAAGCGAAAGUGACGGUAGGUGCAGAGAAAGCGCCGGCUAACUACGCG
RNAcentral lists this ribosomal RNA (471 nucleotides) under uncultured bacterium. Its description in RNAcentral is "partial 16S ribosomal RNA". It matches the Rfam family "Bacterial small subunit ribosomal RNA", at positions 28 to 507 of the family's 1533-position model. The record is from RNAcentral.